CACGACGCUCACUCCAUCAUCCAUCGACACAUUGCACCCCCCCGGUUCGUUCAUUCCUUCGUUCCGCCAUUGACAAACGCUCAACGAAGCCAUCAUGAAUCCACGCACAGAGAACGAUCGAGAGGAGGAGGGAGGGAGAGAGAGAGAGAGAGAGAGAUACAGCAACGGCGGAGCUGAAGAUUUCUUGUUUAAUUCCGUUUCUGUAUAUGAGCUUCUUCCUCUCAGAGCAUUAUUUUGCGUUAGUUCAUUCGCGUUUGACAUUGACGGCUGCGUGCUUUCGUCAUUGGUGUAUCAUGAUAUGCUUCCGGUGGGUGCUUUGAUUUUAGCUUAGAUUCGUGAUUUCGGUGUGGUGGGUGGAUACGAGAUGGAUGGGAAGUCACUGGAGGCAGCGGUUCAUCGAUCUCUUCCUGGAUUUUGUUGUGAAAAAUACUCAAACAGAACAUGAAUGGGUCGAUAAACCUCUGCAUCCAGCGCCCGGUCCUCUCUUGAAUCGGCUCCCCGUUGACUCUGCUUCCUAUUGAGAUGUGAGCUCUCGUCAUGUCCGCUUUGCAUCUCAACUACAUACAUCUCCAUCUCCCUCCCUCCUCACAACCCUCGUUUCAUGUUAGUGUAGAUUCUCCUCUAGAUUCAUAGAUUAUCAUUUACGCUUUGUCUGGUAUCCCGGUGUAGUCCGGAAUAUUUCCUAUCUAGCUAUUUUUUCCUGCCGGGAUUCAUAAUUUGAUGGAUGGAGUCCGAUUUUGAGUUGAUAUUUAUUGAGCUCGACUGCAAUAUAUUAGAUAUGGGAAGGGGGUAGACGGAUUAUCCGUUGGGUGAUCGGUUUUAUUCGGAGACUGCGGCAAGUAAUGACGUCUAGAAAUAUCUUGUUUUGGUAAUUAAUUUGCUGGUCCCGGGAAAUGAAGGAAGGUUGCAAGUAAGUGUAACCCGGGAUUGUGCUUCAAUGUGAUAUAACGGAAAGGGGAAAAUCAUGGAUUUCAUUAUUUUAUCGGGAUGAGAUUAUGGAUAAUAUUUCCCUCCGAGCAGCAUGUAUGGUUAAUAUCAAGGUGUUGGCAAAUGUGGUUCGCAUUAUUUUCAGAUUUCAUAGCAAAUUCUGAUCUAAAUAUGAGUUCUUGAAUUCAUUUCUCCAUUUGGUCUCCUCAUUAAUUAUGUUUCCUCGCCUCAAAAGAUUGUUGAAUCUUUUCUUAGUUGGAGCAUAUUAAGUUCAUCAACUUGAUGAUCGAAUAUAUCGGUGGAUUUGUUUCUUUAUUCUCUCCAUUUCAUUGGUGAGAACCACCGAGAAGCGAAACUGCUCUGCCUAUGACUUUGUUUGUUGUGUAUGACUGUUUCUGGAACUGUUUCUUAUCGCAUUCAGAUUGAUGGUGCGGUUUAUGUUUGGAUUUUGUGCUGCCCAUGUGAUGACUCAUUAUGAAAUGGUCUAGUCCAGAAGUUCUUUUUCAUCAGCAAUAUUUCUUGUAUUAGCUGGCCUUUUGCUGAAGUUAUUUUGUGAAACGAUCUGUUGGAUUCUCUACUCAUUGCUCAACAAGAUACACUAUCUCGCCUCUAUACUAGAAUGUCUGUUCUCAAAUCAUGCCUAGAUUAAUAGACAUUCAUCUUUCGAUAUUAUUUUCCCUCCGUACAUGCUCAUGAUAUUGACAAAUGCGAGCAGGGUGAAAAGAUUAUGCCGGCAUACGGGAUUCAAGAUUUCAGAGGAAAGUGGCUACUUGGCUCUUUACGCGGAAAGGUUGUGGUCUCUGAGGUGAAAGUGUCUUUAGUGAGAGACGUGCUCUCGUCACGGCUUCUUCAAACUGAGGAUAAAACCACAGCUAAAGGUACCAACUUGGUGGAGAAUCCAUAUUUUUGCUCAUGUGAAUCAAAUUCCAUGGUACUUUAUGAAGUCAGGUUAAGAGAUUCCUAAUGCUUUGUCGGGGGAACCAACUAUGAUGAUGUGGAAGCUGUCCAAUUUCUGUUAGAAACCUAGGAUUCAGGUUGUUGCUUAUAAAAGGAAAGAAUCUGAGACAAAGCAUCUGCGGCUUGAGGAUAUUCUCUUUAGUUUGGUUGCCUAUGUCUUUUGAUAGAGAAACGAUGCUUUCGGUCCUUUUUUUUUUUUUUACCCUCCUUAAUCCUUUUAACGGGUUUUCCUAUUUUAUAACUCUCAUAUGAAACAAGUGUUAUUGGAUGAUAGAAGCUAUAGCCCCUGCCGUCGUGAGCGACUUGGAGGAUUUUUUGGAAUAUAUAGAUUGCUAUGUCGCAGUACUAAUCUCUCUAGUAUUAUCCGCGAUGAUGUGUGAAGUGGACUGGACUCUUUUUCGCCUUGUUAGGAGAAUAAUGGAUUUCUUUUGCUA
Non-coding RNA from Punica granatum (pomegranate), 2318 nucleotides. The record is from RefSeq and is a predicted model, not a curated record. Lineage: Eukaryota; Viridiplantae; Streptophyta; Magnoliopsida; Myrtales; Lythraceae.